GUCGGUGCAUCUGCACCUUGGCGGAAGCAAGAAAGCUAAGGAAACGCCAUCAUGGCAUCUACCGGUACCGUCAAGUGGUUCAAUAACGAAAAGGGCUUCGGCUUCAUCGCCCCGGACGACGGCAGCGCUGACGUCUUCGCGCACUUCUCUGCGAUUGCUGGCAACGGCUACAAGUCGCUCGAGGAGAACCAGAAGGUGGAGUUCGACAUCACCGAGGGCCGCAAGGGCCCGCAGGCGGAGAACAUCACCGUCCUCGGCUGAUCACAUCAGCUUGAACAGGCCCCGUCGUCUUCGGACGACGGGGCCUGU
Non-coding RNA from Curtobacterium flaccumfaciens, 309 nucleotides. The record is from Rfam. NCBI's taxonomy places the organism in Bacteria, Bacillati, Actinomycetota, Actinomycetes, Micrococcales, Microbacteriaceae.